AUAUUGUCUCUGGCAAAGAGUACAUAUGACUGCAAGUUCCAAGCUGGUCAUCCCCAUGGUGGGGGCCUGUCAGUAAGAGGGAAAGAUCUGACUCAACUGGGUCCAAUGAAAUGUAAACAACCUCAAGUUCAUCAUUUCCAACAUUGUGACAUAAAGAACUCCAAUGCGCUUAUUUUCUCAAAUGCAGUGUAUAACCUGACUUCAGUGGCUUAGAAAAUACAUGGUUAUUGGAAGUGGUUACAAUCUGGAUUCAACUAAGUUCAGUUAUCUGAUAUGUGAAAGGCUAGGAGUUCACCCACUGAGCUUUCAUGGAUAGGCCAUAGGAUAGCAUGGGGAUUCCAGUUUGCCUGUGUGAAGUGGUAUGAAUGUUAUGGUGUCUACCUGAAAAAUCUGAAUUCAGAACUUGAUACUGAUGCAGAAAAGGAGCAGUGGAAGGAGGUAAACAAGCAGGUAGUUGACAGUGCCUAUUAAAUGAUCAAACUAAAAUGUUUGUAUGUCUUGAGCCAUCCACCUUUCUGUGGUAGACUUGCCCAGCACAUCCCAUUUCAACCAUGUUUAAGGAUAACUAUGGAAUCAAGGAUGAUGUCUUCCUCAGUGUCCCUUGUGCUGUGGGACAAAAUGCAACUUCAGAUGUUGAGAAGAUGAUGCUUACUCCUCAAGAGGAAGCUCAUUAAAGAAGAGUACAGUUACAGUCUAGAUAAUCCAGAAAGAACUACAG
RNAcentral lists this long non-coding RNA (718 nucleotides) under Mus musculus (house mouse). RNAcentral describes it as "long non-coding RNA chrX:43710390-43711108". Lineage: Eukaryota; Metazoa; Chordata; Mammalia; Rodentia; Muridae. The record is from RNAcentral.